RNAcentral lists this unclassified non-coding RNA (763 nucleotides) under Hevea brasiliensis (rubber tree). Lineage: Eukaryota; Viridiplantae; Streptophyta; Magnoliopsida; Malpighiales; Euphorbiaceae. The record is from RNAcentral.
AGAUUUUACAGUUUUGGAGAUAAUUUAAAGCUCGUUACUACCAUAAAAGAUUAUGUAGUUGCCUAUGAUUGUCUGCAUUGUAUACAUUUAAUCCCUUGUAGCGUCUCUAUUAUGUCUUGUAACUUGUUUAUUACCAUAUCCUUCUCAGCAAUUGUCUGUAAUAGUCUUGUAUUCUCCUCUCUAAGAAGCUCAAACUGGCAUACUAUCCCAUCAAUCUGUGCUUCAAUGGCCUCAUCACUCAACUCAAACGCACUCUCCACCACUCUAACCACUCGCCAUAAACUCACCACAACAAGCAAACCUCCUCCUUGCCUCUCCAACAAUGUUUCCAAAAUUAAUGCACCUAAAACAACUGCACCAUCAACCACAUAACCUGGUCGCCGAAACAGGGAGCUGCCUAGCCCCACAGCAAGCGCCAUUGCCUUGGCAGAAAGCAGGCUCAGUAUAGCGAUCCCUACCCAGUGAUACCAAACUCGUUCUAUCUUAUAGUUAUUCUUUUCUGGUGUGCAUGACAAUAAAGAAGAUGAAAGUUCAAGAAUAGUUAAGAUGAGAUCAACCAGCAAUAGUGAGAUUGCGAUAACACGAACUUUUGUUGAUUCUAGGAAUUUAAUUAGGUUGUUUCUCCAUUGUGCUCGUUUAUUCUCGCCUGGUUCAUCUGUUGGAUUGAAAAGGAAAUUCCAUUUUUGCCUUCUGUGCCAGCUUUUGAUUAGAUUUUGAGCUGAGGAUUGGAGGGUUUCGAUGGAGAUGGAAUUGAUGAUGGCAG